Molecule: long non-coding RNA, 519 nt
Filed under: Medicago truncatula (barrel medic)
Lineage: Eukaryota; Viridiplantae; Streptophyta; Magnoliopsida; Fabales; Fabaceae
Description: long non-coding RNA (MTRU_LNC003104)
Source: RNAcentral
AUCAAUCAGGAAUCAGUGCAAAUGAUGUACUCGCCAAACUCAAAUAUAAGCAAAAAUAAACAUAAAAGAGAAAAACAAAUAUAACUAAAUACAAACUAAUUAAGAAUACUGUUAAUCUCAUUUAACUUUCUUGAUUUAAUCAAAAAAAUUAUUGCAUCAAUACAUUGUCUGUUCAUUCAAUUUCUACAAGAACCAGUUUCAUGAGAAUAUUAAUUUGACGGUACUUUGAGAAUGAUAACAUAACAUUAAAUAUGGUGAAGUUUGGAAUUUGUUUAUAUUUGUGUAUACCAAACAUAACUUGUUUUUGCUUCUAUUUGAGUCGAGUGCAUGUAUCAAUCAUCAAAACAGCAAAAGUAAAAUCGAGUGUGCUGCAUGCCAGUUGUUAAAGAAAUACUAGAGUUUAUGGUACACUAAUAUCAUUUCCAAUGCAUCUACUUUAAACUAACAGAAAUGCACAUGCAUACACAUACUUUUUAAUAGUAGACAAAACAACACUAAAUGAAGUUUAACAUAUUAACC